UGGAGAUCUCUGGCACACUGCAGGUGAGGUGCUUCCCCUUAUCCAAACAGUGGGAGGCCCUUGUAUCCUGUCCUCUACAUGCAAGAGCUGGGAAGACAUCCUGUGUGAAGGAGCUGGGUAGAGCCCAGCAGGACUGCAGGACCCUACAAGGACAGUCCUGAUCAGCUUCCCUGGGCAACUGGUUAUCCUGAGCAAUGAGGAUCUAGGGCCAUCCCAGCCAGGAUGUCCUCCAGACACCAAGGUGCCCAUAACAGAGAGUCUCAUGUUGCCCCCACCUCAAGCCACUUCCCGCUUGAGCUGCCCUUGAGGGUGGGAACAGGACCUGAGCCAAGCAGCGCUCUGGGGAUGACUACUGAGCAAAUGCAGCAAACGUGGAUGGAGGCCGAGAGGACAAGGGACCACACAGCCUGGAGCUCACACUCAGAACUACCCUUUCCUGUCCUCUCUAGAUUCUCAGUAGCCACAGAUGCUUCAGGUCUCCACUCAUCCCAAAGGAGAGCAAGAGGGGGUACCAGGUCAUUCCCUACAGGUGGAAUAGGGCCUGCACAUCCUUCUAAUGGCACUAGGAACAGGGCCUGUGCAAACCCUGCCGGCAUGGACUUGAUCCGGAGUGUGGCUUCCAGUGCAGGCACGGCCUCUCAUCCAGUCCUUGCUGCUUCACAGAUCUCCAGG
RNAcentral lists this long non-coding RNA (672 nucleotides) under Mus musculus (house mouse). RNAcentral's name for it is "RIKEN cDNA A930001M01 gene". Lineage: Eukaryota; Metazoa; Chordata; Mammalia; Rodentia; Muridae. The record is from RNAcentral.